AUACGGAGGGUCCAAGCGUUGUCCGGAAUCACUGGGUGUAAAGGGUGCGCAGGCGGGCUUGUAAGUCAGAGGUGAAAUCCCCCGGCCUAACCGGGGAACUGCCUUUGAUACUGCAAGUCUUGAGUCUUGGAGAGGUUGCCAGAAUUCGUGGUGUAGCGGUGAAAUGCGUAGAUAUCACGAGGAAUACCUGAGGCGUAGGCGGGCAACUGGACAAGUACUGACGCUGAGGCACGAAAGCGUGGGGAGCGAACAGGAUUAGAAACCCCGGUAGUCC
Molecule: ribosomal RNA, 274 nt
Filed under: uncultured bacterium
Lineage: Bacteria
Description: partial 16S ribosomal RNA
Rfam family: Bacterial small subunit ribosomal RNA
Source: RNAcentral